This 398-nucleotide ribosomal RNA is filed under the name Alexandrium monilatum. Its description in RNAcentral is "partial Eukaryotic large subunit ribosomal RNA". It matches the Rfam family "Eukaryotic large subunit ribosomal RNA", at positions 1068 to 1466 of the family's 3401-position model. Lineage: Eukaryota; Dinophyceae; Gonyaulacales; Pyrocystaceae. The record is from RNAcentral.
AAUGGGUAAGAACCCGGGGUUGCUUAAUUGAACCCUGCGGUCGAAUCUCGGUUGCUAGUGGGCCAGUCCGGGUAAGCUGGACUGGCGAUGCGGGAUGAUCCGAACGCUGAGUUAAAGUGCCUAACUGCUCGCUCACCUAGAUCCCACAAAAGGUGUUGGUUCAUCCAGACAGCAGGACGGUGGCCAUGGAAGUCGGAACCCGCUAAGGAGUGUGUAACAACUCACCUGCCGAAUGAACUAGCCCUGAAAAUGGAUGGCGCUAAAGCGUGCGACUUAUACUCAGCCAUCAGCGCGAGACGUAUGUGCUGAUGAGUAGGAGGGCGUGAUGCUCGUAUCGAAGCCUUGGGCGUGAGCCUGGGUGAAACGUGCAUUAGUGCAGAUCUUGGUGGUAGUAGCAA